AUGCCUAGUGUCAUGAUCAAAGCCGAUGAUCAUAAGCUAUGUCCUCCAUCACGAUCUCGAAUGAAACUAUCCAUGGAAUCCAUCCCGAGGAUGGCGCAUCUCGUUGGGCAUGGAGAAGAAUUGGGAACCCCAAUAUCUUUCUUCAAAGCAGUUUCUUUUCCCGUCCCCUCGCCCCGGCUUAGCGCUUCGCUUCCGAUUCUUCGGACGAAUCAAUUGACUUCUCCCUUCUUCAUUGAUCCUGGGGAAAGGGAACCGUCUACCAGUUGGGAAGCUAGACAUCAAGGUUGUGGCUUGAUGAGGAUAACUAAGCUAACACUCCGGAGUUGGCUGCUGGCACAACAGGGUGGUGCCUUACUGCAUCGCAAGCACACGCGCGGUAGUGUUCAUGGUGGUGCUUCAAGAUUCCAAUGUACUGUGUCCAGGAUCAGAACGAGCUUGCCGGUGGACCACUGCCCCGGCCAAAUUACUACCGGAUCAUCGUUCUACUCUACCUCAAUUCACCAUUUCAAACUUUAUAUAGAAGGUUUUUCCAUAUCAGCUCCUUCUACCUAUACCGCAGUUGAAGCACCUAACGGUGAAUUUGGUGUCUCUCUUGUCGGUAAUGGGAGUAAUCAUCCCUACCGUUGUAAAAUAUGA
This 636-nucleotide ribosomal RNA is filed under the name Triticum aestivum (bread wheat). Its description in RNAcentral is "partial small subunit ribosomal RNA". The record is from RNAcentral. Lineage: Eukaryota; Viridiplantae; Streptophyta; Magnoliopsida; Poales; Poaceae.